GUCAACUUACGAGGACAUUGGAGGGCAAGUCUGGUGCCAGCAGCCGCGGUAAUUCCAGCUCCAAUAGCGUAUAUUAAAGUUGUUGCAGUUAAAAAGCUCGUAGUUGGAUUUUGGGAUAAGCUUGUUGGGCCGCCGCGAGGUGUUUGCCCCGACGAGGGUAUCCUUCCUCUCGAAAUUGGCGUGUGCGCUUAAUUGAGUGUGCGUCGAGUUUGGGACUUUUACUGUGAAAAAAUUAGAGUGUUCAAAGCAGGCUAUCGCUUGAAUAUUUCAGCAUGGAAUAAUGGAAUAGGACGUUGGUUCUAUUUUGUUGGUUUCUAGGACCGAAGUAAUGAUUAAUAGGGAUAGUUGGGGGCAUUAGUAUUUAAUUGUCAGAGGUGAAAUUCUUGGAUUUAUGAAAGACUAACUUCUGCGAAAGCAUUUGCCAAGGAUGUUUUCAUUAAUCAAGAACGAAGGUUAGGGGAUCGAAGAUGAUCAGAUACCGUCGUAGUCCUAACCAUAAACUAUGCCGACUAGGGAUUGGU
Molecule: ribosomal RNA, 521 nt
Filed under: uncultured eukaryote
Lineage: Eukaryota
Description: SSU rRNA
Rfam family: Eukaryotic small subunit ribosomal RNA
Source: RNAcentral